This 440-nucleotide ribosomal RNA is filed under the name Acinetobacter baumannii. RNAcentral describes it as "bacterial SSU rRNA". It matches the Rfam family "Bacterial small subunit ribosomal RNA", at positions 338 to 794 of the family's 1533-position model. Lineage: Bacteria; Pseudomonadati; Pseudomonadota; Gammaproteobacteria; Moraxellales; Moraxellaceae. The record is from RNAcentral.
CCUACGGGAGGCAGCAGUGGGGAAUAUUGGACAAUGGGCGAAAGCCUGAUCCAGCAAUGCCGCGUGAGUGAUGAAGGCCUUAGGGUUGUAAAGCUCUUUUACCCGGGAUGAUAAUGACAGUACCGGGAGAAUAAGCUCCGGCUAACUCCGUGCCAGCAGCCGCGGUAAUACGGAGGGAGCUAGCGUUGUUCGGAAUUACUGGGCGUAAAGCGCACGUAGGCGGCUUUGUAAGUCAGAGGUGAAAGCCUGGAGCUCAACUCCAGAACUGCCUUUGAGACUGCAUCGCUUGAAUCCAGGAGAGGUGAGUGGAAUUCCGAGUGUAGAGGUGAAAUUCGUAGAUAUUCGGAAGAACACCAGUGGCGAAGGCGGCUCACUGGACUGGUAUUGACGCUGAGGUGCGAAAGCGUGGGGAGCAAACAGGAUUAGAUACCCCCUGUAGU